Long non-coding RNA from Lutra lutra (Eurasian river otter), 340 nucleotides. RefSeq lists it as uncharacterized. NCBI's taxonomy places the organism in Eukaryota, Metazoa, Chordata, Mammalia, Carnivora, Mustelidae. The transcript is spliced from 3 exons. The record is from RefSeq and is a predicted model, not a curated record.
ACCCUUUCUUCAGGACAAGGGAAUUGUAUCAGUGAUUAAUGAGGGUGGAUUAGAAAACAGCUGGAGCCCCGGAAGCCAGGUCCUGGGCGCAGUAAAAUAGUCCCUCCAUUUGCCGGGAAUAUGACCCGAAUGCGGCACUAGAUGACGAUCAAGCAGAAGCAUGAGUCAUAAUGAAAGCAAAAAGAAGAUAUGAUUCCAUGAGUGAGUCCAGUCUGGUGGAGAGACCACAGAGCAAUUUGAACAGUCUGGACAUUAAAUCUUCCUUCUGUUGACACAGAAUAGCAUAUUCAUAGCCAUCUUGAUUCAUUACAGCCAUCACUUCUUGGGAUAAGCCCUCUAG